CCCGGGACUUCGGUUCCAAUGGGAAAGUGGCGAACGGGUGCGUAACACGUGAGAAACCUGUCCCGGAGAUGGGAAUAGCCCAGGGAAACCUGGAUUAAUACCCAAUACCCUGAGAGCGUCGCAUGGCGCAUUCAGGAAAGGUUCCGGCGCUUUGGGAGGGUCUCGCGGCCUAUCAGCUUGUUGGUGAGGUAAAGGCUCACCAAGGCAUCGACGGGUAGCUGGUCUGAGAGGACGAUCAGCCACACUGGGACUGAGACACGGCCCAGACUCCUACGGGAGGCAGCAGUAGGGAAUCUUGCGCAAUGGGCGAAAGCCUGACGCAGCAACGCCGCGUGGGGGAAGAAGGCCCUCGGGUCGUAAACCCCUUUCAGCAGGGACGAAAUUGACGGUACCUGCAGAAGAAGCGCCGGCCAACUACGUGCCAGCAGCCGCGGUAAUACGUAGGGCGCAAGCGUUGUCCGGAUUUAUUGGGCGUAAAGGGCUCGUAGGCGGUUCGGUAAGUCGGGUGUGAAAACUCAGGGCUCAACUCUGAGACGCCACUCGAUACUGCCAUGACUAGAGUCCGGUAGAGGAGUGCGGAAUUCCUGGUGUAGCGGUGAAAUGCGCAGAUAUCAGGAGGAACACCAACAGCGAAGGCAGCACUCUGGGCCGGUACUGACGCUGAGGAGCGAAAGCGUGGGGAGCAAACAGGAUUA
RNAcentral lists this ribosomal RNA (695 nucleotides) under uncultured Acidimicrobiia bacterium. RNAcentral describes it as "bacterial SSU rRNA". It matches the Rfam family "Bacterial small subunit ribosomal RNA", at positions 71 to 780 of the family's 1533-position model. The record is from RNAcentral. Lineage: Bacteria; Bacillati; Actinomycetota; Acidimicrobiia.